UACGAAGGGGGCUAGCGUUGCUCGGAAUUACUGGGCGUAAAGCGCACGUAGGCGGAUUUUUAAGUCGGGGGUGAAAUCCUGGAGCUCAACUCCAGAACUGCCUUCGAUACUGGCGAUCUCGAGUUCGGGAGAGGUGAGUGGAACUGCGAGUGUAGAGGUGAAAUUCGUAGAUAUUCGCAAGAACACCAGUGGCGAAGGCGGCUCACUGGCCCGAUACUGACGCUGAGGUGCGAAAGCGUGGGGAGCAAACAGG
Molecule: ribosomal RNA, 253 nt
Filed under: uncultured bacterium
Lineage: Bacteria
Description: partial 16S ribosomal RNA
Rfam family: Bacterial small subunit ribosomal RNA
Source: RNAcentral